GACGAACGCUGGCGGCGUGCCUAAUACAUGCAAGUAGAACGCUGAAGAGAGGAGCUUACUCUUCUUGGAUGAGUUGCGAACGGGUGAGUAACGCGUAGGUAACCUGCCUUGUAGCGGGGGAUAACUAUUGGAAACGAUAGCUAAUACCGCAUAACAAUGGAUGACACAUGUCAUUUAUUUGGAAGGGGCAAUUGCUCCACUACAAGAUGGACCUGCGUUGUAUUAGCUAGUAGGUGAGGUAAUGGCUCACCUAGGCGACGAUACAUAGCCGACCUGAGCGGGUGGUCGGCCACACUGGGACUGAGACACGGCCCAGACGCCUACGGGAGGCAGCAGUAGGGAAUCUGCGGCAAUGGGGGCAACCCUGACCGAGCAACGCCGCGUGAGUGAAGAAGGGUUUCGGAUCGGAAAGCUCUGUUGUAAGUCAAGAACGGGUGUGAGAGUGGAAAGUUCACACUGUGACGGUAGCUUACCAGAAAGGGACGGCUAACUACGUG
Molecule: ribosomal RNA, 497 nt
Filed under: uncultured bacterium
Lineage: Bacteria
Description: partial 16S ribosomal RNA
Rfam family: Bacterial small subunit ribosomal RNA
Source: RNAcentral